Molecule: unclassified non-coding RNA, 293 nt
Filed under: uncultured Leohumicola
Lineage: Eukaryota; Fungi; Ascomycota; Leotiomycetes
Description: sequence contains ITS1
Rfam family: 5.8S ribosomal RNA (bases 1-105)
Source: RNAcentral
GAAAUGCGAUAAGUAAUGUGACUUGCAGAAUUCAGUGAAUCAUCGAGUCUUUGAACGCACAUUGCGCCCCUUGGUAUUCCGAGGGGCAUGCCCGUUCGAGCGUAAUUAUACCCCUCAAGCCUAGCUUGGUGUUGGGGCCUGCUGUUUCCGGCAGCCCUUAAAAUCAGUGGCGGUGCCAUCUGGCUCUAAGCGUAGUAAUACUUCUCGCUACAGGGUCCCGGUGGAUGCUUGCCAUCAACCCCUAAUUUUCUAUGGUUGACCUCGGAUCAGGUAGGGAUACCCGCUGAACUUAA